Molecule: long non-coding RNA, 1062 nt
Organism: Athalia rosae (coleseed sawfly)
Lineage: Eukaryota; Metazoa; Arthropoda; Insecta; Hymenoptera; Athaliidae
Exons: 2
Source: RefSeq, a predicted model, not a curated record
CGACCAACGAAAACUCCUCGAAUGCCUUCACCUUCGCUAAAUGCGCCGUCAGACUUUCCGUAGACAUCGCCGACGUCAGAUAUAAUUGUGGGGUGCUACCACGAAUGUGGGUGGGCGUUGGGAACCGAACGCAGAGCAGCAUGACCAUGUCCGAGCCAGUUGACGAUGCCAAGGCGCUGCGGUGGGUUUAUCUCAACAUUGACACCAUUUUCACAUGGGUAUACGUAUGCACGUACGUAUACACACAAUAGAACCUACUAUUGACGCCAACUACAAUGAGAUAAUUAUUAAUAUACGCUAUAUUGUGUGAUGAGUAAUCGCUAUAAUUGACUGUGAAUAAAUUAUGUUCGAUCAGCGUCGAUAUGGUCCAUCUGUCACGAGCAUUCCAGUCGACUUGAGAAAUGGUCGAGGAAAUCUUACUGAUGGCAUUUCGUGCUCUCCUAAUCUUUUUUUCGAUAAAAUUAGUAACCAGCGAGAGAUGAAGAAAAAAUUAACAAUUCUAUAAAUAUGUACCUACUAAUACCGGACAAUGCUCUAAGGAUAGAUUGACUCAUAGUGGCAUACGCUGAAAACUGUUGCAAAACACCACAAACCAACUUGAGUCAUACUGACAUCACGAAUGGGGAUGUGAGUGGCUUUUGCAGUCUUCCGAUUUUUUCUUUACUUGUCGAAUUCGAAAAUCCAUUUGGAUUUGAGCCUAUACAGAUAUGAUGCGCUACUAAAUCUGAAUUUGUACAGAAUUAGUACUAGACUAGCGUACGUUUGACGCUAGCGGGUCUCCGCAAGAUCUAUGUAACUUGCUAAUAAAUUGAUAUUCUUUAUCCUAGAGGCGUGAAUCGAUAGAAUCGAAUCGAUAGAAUUGAAAUGCGCUAGGAGGAUGUCACUGAUUAACUAAAUCAUGUGAACGACAAAAUUUAUUUCUCUAUUAGCAGUUCAAAUGGCACUUGAACAGAACAUUAAUGAACGACACUUUCGUACUAAUCUAUUAUAUUAUAGUAUAAUGCUAUAUGAAUGAGAUUUAUUCAUUUAAUUGAUUUCUUAAUUAAAAUACAUUAACUAUUA